GAACCACCCAAGCUGGCAAAAGGAACAGGAGGGAGGAAGGAGCAGCAGAGACAAAAUGUUAUGGAAUGACCACAGUCCCCAUUCCCUAUCCGCUGCACUUCUCAGGGGAAGGAGAAGGGGAGCAAGAGCAGCUUGGUGGGUUCCUGCAGCUAGCCAAAGUUAACCCACCACAGAAAAUACACCCGAGUAGGUGAGCUUUCCUUCAUCAGUGAGAACAUGCAUUUUAAAACAUCAAGAAAUUGGUUACUUUGCCAAAAGGGAGACCUAAUGCAAUGACUUCUGCUCCAGUAACAUCACUUGGAAUUUGACGAAUAUGAAGGACACGUGAAGGUUCAAAAUGGACAAGAUAUCCUUGACUUUACUAAGUUACUUGACUUAAAGUUAACUUAUGCAGCCAUUGGCCAUUAAUACUUCAAGACCACCUAUGCUGGAAGUACCACUAAAGGAAGCAGUUCCUAGCUUUCUCUCAGUUUCUUGUCUGAUCUAAAACUAUAGGUAGACAUACACAUUUGCCGCAUCUUUCUCAACACAUGAAGAGGGCAGAGCAUAAGUUUCUUCGCACGGUAGUAUAGUUUAACAUGUCUGAAGAAACAUGUGGCUGUGGUUUCACAGUGAGCCAUCACAUAGCUUUAAUGAACCCAGUUUCCUUACCCUGCAUCUGCCUAUCCAACUUCCCACCACUUUCCCAACAAAACCCCAUUCUGUUGGUUUUGCACUACAUAUCUGAACAAUAAUCUGUGUCAAAUCUAGAAAACAUCUGAUCAGGAGAAAAAAAGUAGUAUUUUUUUUACUGCUUUCCUUACAAAAACGUUACCAUCCAUCUCAACCCAUGGAGAGAUUGCCUGGGGACAAGAACUGGCAGCAAACAUCUGAAACCAAAUCACAGGACUGUCUGUGUUGCUCCUCAAAAAGUUCUAGAGGUAGUGUAGAAAGCAAGAACAAGAACACCAAGGGGAAUCAGCUGAAUUUUUUAUCGUGAAUCCACAUAAUGUUCCUUAUGUUCCACCAAACUCAG
Long non-coding RNA from Lepidothrix coronata (blue-crowned manakin), 1015 nucleotides. RefSeq lists it as uncharacterized. NCBI's taxonomy places the organism in Eukaryota, Metazoa, Chordata, Aves, Passeriformes, Pipridae. The transcript has 4 exons. The record is from RefSeq and is a predicted model, not a curated record.